GUAUUUCACGGAGUGGGAGUGAAACCAAGCAAUAGGAGAUAACCCCGCGUUAGCGGACCAAAGCCCCGAACAGUCCGCUAACGCGGGGUUCCAGUGUAUUAAUCAUAUUUAAUAAUUUAUACUUUACACGUACAGAAUUAUGUAAUCGCGUGAAUAAUAAAAAAUUCUCACGGAAUAGAUGCAGCGGAAAGUUAAAAUUUCGCAAAAUUACAUGAUUAAUUCCCUGAAAACAAGCCUGAAGAUGUAAGCUCAAGUGAAUCAUUGCGCAUGGUGAGGAUAAAUUAUAUUUGGAUUAAAAUGCAUCCGAGAAUUAAAUACAAAAAGAAUCUCAUAUGUCUUAUAUGUAUGUACAUGUACGUAUGUAUGUACAUACAUACAUAAUAUGUCAUUUUGUUUUUUAGCAUUUUAAUCCAAAUGUGCUACUACGCAUUCUGGGGAACAAUUCACCUUUCUUUUUACAUCAUGGAAGAUAGAUCUGGGAUACGUUCGGGGAGACGCUAUUAAUGCUAUCAGUAUCAAUUUAUUCUUCUUCUCUUAAAACCAAUGAAGAUAGAUUUGGACUGAUAGUACUAAUAGCGUCUCUCCGAACGCACUUUUGGUCUACAUUUAAUAUCAUUCUUCUUCUGUUUUUCAGAUUUGAUUCCCAUUGAAAAACAAAUAAAAACACAAUUGGUUUUAGUAUUAACGUUCCAGCAUUUAUUUCUCAUUUGACAACAUUUUAUGAUCGAAAUAGUUGCUGAAUGUAUUCUUCCCAAAUGCCUUACAAAUGUUUCGAGCAAUUUGUCCCACUUUAGUGCCGAGUUUAAAUUUAUACAAUAGAUAGGCGCAAAUAACUUUCGAAAUGGCUGUCAUUGUUACACUCAUAACUCUAAAUACACUGAUUUAUUCAUUCAUUACAUAUCAACUAUUAGGCCUUGUCACAUUGUCAUUUCCAUUAAUACACAGGAUGUUAAUAAACCUUCGCAUAAUAUUUAUACCAUCAUGUAACCCACGAAAAUCAAAGACAAAAAGCUCUCUAACAUCUUUCGAUAUAAUGGCACUAAUGGCAUCUGUAGUUUUCACGCAUAAAAUAUUUACUUAUUUAAACUUAUAAUCAAAAGAGUCUUAUUCCUUAAACGUUCUUAAACAUAACCAAAUGAUUAAUAUGAACAACUAAGAAAAAAAUAUCAAUAUAAAUUCUAAAAAGAUCACAUAAUAUUAUUACUAACAUUUCUUCUAAAUAUAAUUUGUUCAUAAAUAAAAAAAGUACAGGAAUCAAUAAAUAAAUGCAAGUGAUAUUAUAGCAAAAAUAAUACAAAAAGCAUAGAGUAUAACGAAGUAAAAAUAAUAUUAAAAAUAAAAAUAAUAAGCAUUAAUAAUUAUAAAUAGCUUAUUAAAAUUUGUUGGAAAUCUCACUUAAUCCAUAUCCUACCAAAAAGACGGAAAGUUCUAGAAUUAAAAAAAAGUUAAAACAUGAUUUUUUUAUUACAACAGUGUGUACAAGACAAUUCCGCAGAGAAAAAUUAUCGUUGCAUUAUCACUUCACCAUUUGAUUCCAAAAACUUUUCUUCCAGGAACAGAAGACAUAGGAAAAACUGCCAGUAAAGCAAAUAGCAUCAGGGACUUGAGUACAAUAUUCCCAAAGUAAAGUUAAUUUGAAUUCUUUCUAUCGAUCUAAUUCAGUUAAUGAAUGAAAACGAAAUCUAGUUAAAACUCACCAAUGAGGAAAGUUAAACGAGGAAUUAUUGUAUUUUGCUAUUUCAUAUAUUUGCACUUCAUGCAUGCGCGAAAAAACUGACCCUUGUAACAACACUUGGACCAAGGAUAUUCAUUUUCACACAGAAAAACCGAUCUAUUUCUUUUACCAUCUAUCUAAUAACCCAGAGUCGAAAAAUCUGUUUGAGUCUUCAAAUUCCUAUUCAUCUGCGGAGGGUUAUUAUAAGAAUGCUUCCUGUCGAGAGAUCAUUCAACGUAUGUGCGUAUUGUUAUUGGUAUUAGACAAUACAUACAAGAGAUACAAGUAUCUCUUUACUUAUUAUUUCGAUAAAUUUACAAUCGACAGUCUAAAGGCCUGUUCUUUUUCACUACAUUGGUGUAAAUUAGAAUGAAACACAUACAUAUUUGUCUCAUUCUAAUUUGUUGCCCCAGUAUAGCAGUGUAGCGAAAAAGAACAAGCCCUAAAUUGAUUAAAAUGUUAAUUUCAUGCAUUUCAUAAGUAAAGAGAUACCUGCUAUAGCAAUUUUACGCUCCAGUGAAAUGGUUAGACAAGAGAUGACAGGUACAACGAUAUCGUAUUUCUAAUGAAAGUGAAAUUGUUAUUUUAAAGAUUAUAUGUUUGAAAAAAAUAGUAGCAAAUAUUUGUUAUAUAAUUUUUUGUUUUAUUAUCGUGAAAAGAAAGGUUGAGAGCCAUUGCGUGACAAACAAAGAAAUAAGGACGAGAUUUAAAAAAAAUUUUUAUAACUUUUUUGUUGCAAAUACAAACACGUCGUUGCAGGAACUUGGAUAUCAUUAUCAUGUUAAUCAUGUCACUUACUUUUCGACAAAAAUACGUGCACCGUAACGCUAGGUUUCUUGCAACGACAGAGUUAUAUUUAAGAAUAAAUUUACCAGCGUAGCAGAAAUACCAGGUGUAGCCGUUUUCGAACACACUUUGUUGGAAUGCAUCAGUUCUUGAAGUGAAUUAAAAUAAUUUUGAUUUUUUAUUUAUGACAUUUUUAUAUAUGACAUUAAAUAAAUAUACAUACAAUUUCUUAAUUAAAAUAUAGACAUUUGAUCUAUCUAUUUAUUUAUGCCAAUGAGAAAAUAAUUUAAAUGAAAAAAAAAAUUUCUUACAUAAAGAUGUAUGAGUAUUUUAGCCUUUUUUAUGAGCUCAAGUUUACUAGCUUAAGUUAAGCCAUAUCUUCCUCAAAGAUUUUGUCUUCUGUCUUUUGUCAAAAGUUUGGUAAGUUUUAUGAAACAAUACUAUUGGUUCGAAAAGAUUUAAAAAUUACUGAAAAACCAUUCGAAUCUAAUGCUGUACACUAGUUCCAAUAGUUUUUCCACAAGUCUAAUAGUAUUUUUCCAUAAUAUUUUUCUUCAGCAUAUUUCAGUGAUAUGCUUUUUACAUAUAAGUAUAUAGGAACUACAAUUUUUAUGUCAGUUCUGAAUUGUUUAUAUCAUUAUAUAUAUUUCUACCAAUGUGUAAGUUAACUUCGAUCUCAGUUUAUAGCAUAGUAAAAAACAUUUUGUAUUUAUGUAAAAAUCUUUAUCAAAACUUAUGUUGUAUUUUUAACAUGUUAAAUUAACAGUGUUAAUUUAACAUAAUGCGAUAAUAUUAUUUAAAUAUGUUGUGAAAUUUCUAACAUAAUUGUGUAUUAAUUUAACACAAGUCGUUAUGUUGCUUAGACUUUUGCAUGUUAAAUUAAUAUUAACUAUUUUCAAAAAAUUAAAAUAAUACAAUUUAUAUGUAAAUAUUUGUAAAUACAUAAAUUGUUGAUGACAUAUUUUAUAUUAAAAUGAACAGAUAAUUAUGUUAUUUUCCUCUUUAUAACAGUUAUCAUGUAUUAAAUAAAUAUAUUUCUUAUUGUUAUUAAUCAUAAAGCGAUCGCUAUAUUCUAUUGUUUGUUUAUCGUCAAAGUUUUUAAUACACAAAUCGUCAAUUUAACAUUUUAAUUUUACUAUUUUUAAUGUUAAAAUAACAUUUUAUUUUAAUUACAUUUAACAUUAUACGUAUGUCAAUUUAAUAUAAAGUUUGGUUUCUGACCAAAUGUUAAACUUUUGUAUUAGUUUAUUACAUAUUCAUAUUACUUUUUAAUACAUUUGCUUUAUGUAAAUAGUUACAUUAAAAGUUUGAGUGGAUAAAUUCAAACAUAUGAAAUUAUGUGUUAAACAUAAAUUUUUUUUAGUAUAAAUGAAUAAAUAACAAAAACGUAGUUACUAAAUAUAAGGUCUAACAAUAAUACGGUACGAUUGUAAAAAUGUACAUCAACAUAUCAUAAAUAUUAAUUUUGUUAAAGAAGUAUGUUCUGAAGUCUUGUGCCUGCUUAAAAAACAUCUAUUUCUGAAUUGUGUCAAAAUGUCAUAUUUUUGUAUUAAUAUUUCUUACAUAUUAUUUAUAUUACUGUCUGAUCUGAUAUUUAUUUUGUAAUAUAUUAACACAAAAAUUAAGACAUAAUCAAUUUGGCAUUUACUGUUGAUUCCCGAUUUAUAACUACGAUUAAACAUUUUUGUUUUCUUUUUUUCUUUUUUUUUUUUUAGUAUACAAAGCACCCUUUAUAUCUCAUCAGAUAAACAACAAAAUCUUUUUGGCAUAAAUAUAGGAUUCAGAAUCAAUGUCAAUGGUUGACUAGGAUUUAUGUACAAUGUUUUACGUUUAGAUUUGUCAUGUAAUAUCCAUUUUUCCUAACUAAAGUCCAGAAAAAUAAAAUACGGAAACCAUUGAUUCUAAUAUUUGAAUUAUUUCUUUCACUUCGAGCACUGAGCUAUUGUUAUCGAUGAUAAAUCGACUUCAGCGAGUGCUUUGGUCAAUGGGACAUAUUAUUAUAUUGAUAAAAAAUUGAUUCACAAUAUUAGGCGCCAGUAUACUUAGUAUAAAUAACAAUUUAUUACAUUAUCAAUUUUGCUACAUAAAGAAAGAUCCAUUGACGCAAUUGACGAAUCAUUAUUAAUAUUACAUAAAUUCUGGACAAUUUAAUGCUUUCCAAGAAAAUACAUUUUAAGGUUUGGAUCUUAAUGUAUUUUAACUGCGCAUUUCCGACGCCUUUUCAUACUGAUAUGUACAAAUUGUUCGCAGCGUUAGUUUAUUAUAUAAUACAUUAGCAAUUUUGUCUAUGCCAUAUUUAAUUAGUAUUAAAAUGUAAGGCACAAUAAAAUAUCCCAAUUUGUAGUUUUGUCAGUCAAAGAAAAAUACUAUAUUAAUCGCAAAAAAUGUUAUCACAAGAAAAGCUAUAUUAAAUGCGAAUAAUAUAUUAUUACAAGUGCAUUAGACUAAACAAUUCGAGUAAAAUGAUUACGCCAGUCAAUAUUUUAACGAGUGCAUUUCGAAUUUACCACAUAUUUAAUAACCACUAAUUAGUUUAUGUUAAAUAAGCUCGAACCGUCAACGUAAUAACUUUCUUGUAAGAUAGCGACUAUUUCUAGUAAGUUACCCUGGUAAGAGCAUACUUUGACUUUCAUAAUUCUCAUCAUUUGCUUCUUUUGAUGGAUUUAAACAAAAUUUUUAAUUUAUUGUAAUAUGUAUAUUAAUUAUUAAUAUUUAACUACUUAUAAUUUAUUUAAUCUUAGUGUUGGGUAUCUAUACAUAAACAGCAAUCAUAUACGGACAAUUUAAAUUAUCACUCUUUUUAUAUAGUCCAAUUAAAUAAGACAACAAAGAAUCAUCGUUAUUUAUUAUUUACUUAUUUACUUAUCAGACUGCUUGUUAGAAGAUAGCUUGGAAAUACUGUACGGAGGAAGACCUCAUGCGUGUAUGCCCAACACUGAAACUUCAAAUUUCGAAUUUUGAAAAUACUAAAACUUUUCAAAUAUGCUAAAAUAAAAAAACAAGAUUUUUAUAGAUAAUUGGAAUAUUUAACGGCAUUUCAGACUAUAAUUACUGGAAACAGUUGCAAAACUUUUAAUUAUUUGAAUCGCAAUGUCGAUCGCAAUGACUCGCUUGCUAUUAAAAAAUAGCGUUUCGGCGCUUUGUUAUUGAAUUUCACAUUAAAUUUUCAAACAUCAGGAUGUAGCUUUUAAUACUGGUUUAACAGAGCUGGCUUGAGAAUAAUCGAAAAAGCGACUAUGCACUCGCGUGCUCAUAGAGGCGGUUUCUCAUAGUAUUUAAAGAACCUUUUUACUGUAACUCUACAUUUAUAUACGUCGUGAUCCUUGUCUCUUACGCCGUAAUUAAGGGUGGUCGGACCAAAUCUGGGCACAUUCGACUCUGUUAUACAGUUUUCUUUCUUCGAGGAAGAAAAAAAACAGGAGAGAAAGAUCAAUACCUAGAUUUUUAGUAUGUAGACAACGCAGACCGCCCUUGGGGCUUGCUACAAAGAACGAAUUUUAGUAUACAAAAGAGUACUGCCUCAAUUCUUAGGAUAAAUUAAUCGCAUUACUAACGACGAGGAAAAUUGUAAGAAAAAAGAUGAAGAUGAAACGUAGACGGAAAUAACGGCUUCCGUCGGUGAUUAUUAUCGAAACCAAAGUACUCUGAUUCUGUUUCUUUCCUUACGAUAAUAAUAGAAUAAUAGAAUCUCUAACAGAUUUGGUCUGUUCUUUUUCGCUGCACUACUGCACUGGUGUAGUAAGUUAGAAUGAGAAAAAAUAUAUUUAUCUCACCUUAACUUGUUGCAUCGGUGCAGCGGUGCAGCUAAAAAAACAUCUCUUUGGUGAAAAGCGAAUACGUUGACAUUAUAGCUUUUAAAAUCUGAAUUAAUUUUUAUGUAAACAAUAUUGUUCUCAAUUUGUAAAUGAAGAUAAUGGGGGGAAGAUAAAGAACUUUUUGCGAAUUAAGUGUUAAAGACAUGAAGAAACGACGAAGGUCAUUUGCCAUUACAGUUGAAGUGAGAUGUUCACAAUUCUUAAGUUUUGUUGAGAAAAAUUUGACUCUAAAUUGUAUAAGAAAAGAAAUACGCAAUUACUUAAUAUUACAGUGAUUACUUAAGACGAGUAUUAUGUAAUCAUUUUCCUUUCAAUUCUCGGAUAUCCUGUGUAUUCACGACAUCUUAUACUGCCAUACCUGUUCAAUUGAUUAAAUAAGUUUUCAUUGUGUACGUAGAAAUCGUUAUGUUAAACAGUAAAAUUAACGCAAUGCUUA
Long non-coding RNA from Monomorium pharaonis (pharaoh ant), 6751 nucleotides. RefSeq lists it as uncharacterized. The transcript has 2 exons. NCBI's taxonomy places the organism in Eukaryota, Metazoa, Arthropoda, Insecta, Hymenoptera, Formicidae. The record is from RefSeq and is a predicted model, not a curated record.